RNAcentral lists this ribosomal RNA (253 nucleotides) under uncultured bacterium. RNAcentral describes it as "partial 16S ribosomal RNA". It matches the Rfam family "Bacterial small subunit ribosomal RNA", at positions 524 to 776 of the family's 1533-position model. The record is from RNAcentral.
UACGUAGGGUGCGAGCGUUAAUCGGAAUUACUGGGCGUAAAGCGUGCGCAGGCGGUUUUGUAAGACAGACGUGAAAUCCCCGGGCUUAACCUGGGAACUGCGUUUGUGACUGCAAGACUAGAGUACGGCAGAGGGGGGUAGAAUUCCACGUGUAGCAGUGUAAUGCGUAGAUAUGUGGAGGAAUACCGAUGGCGAAGGCAGCCCCCUGGGUCGAUACUGACGCUGAGACGCGAAAGCCAGGGGAGCGAACGGG